CGGGACGGGUGAGUAAUGUCUGGGAAACUGCCCGAUGGAGGGGGAUAACUACUGGAGACGGUAGCUAAUACCGCAUAACGUCGCAAGACCAAAGAGGGGGACCUUCGGGCCUCUUGCCAUCGGAUGUGCCCAGAUGGGAUUAGCUAGUAGGUGGGGUAACGGCUCACCUAGGCGACGAUCCCUAGCUGGUCUGAGAGGAUGACCAGCCACACUGGAACUGAGACACGGCCAG
Molecule: ribosomal RNA, 232 nt
Filed under: uncultured bacterium
Lineage: Bacteria
Description: partial 16S ribosomal RNA
Rfam family: Bacterial small subunit ribosomal RNA
Source: RNAcentral